RNAcentral lists this ribosomal RNA (2909 nucleotides) under Natranaerovirga pectinivora. RNAcentral's name for it is "partial 23S ribosomal RNA". It matches the Rfam family "Bacterial large subunit ribosomal RNA". Lineage: Bacteria; Bacillati; Bacillota; Clostridia; Lachnospirales; Natranaerovirgaceae. The record is from RNAcentral.
UAGAUUAAGAUAGUAAGAGCGUAGGGUGGAUGCCUUGGCACUGAGAGCCGAUGAAGGACGUGAUAAGCUGCGAAAAGCUUCGGGGAGGCGCAAAUAGCCAUUGAUCCGGAGAUAUCCGAAUGGGGAAACCCGGCUGAGAAAAGCUCAGUCACUAUUAAGUGAAUACAUAGCUUAAUAGAGGGAACUCGGGGAACUGAAACAUCUAAGUACCCGAAGGAGGAGAAAGAAACAUCGAUUUCCUAAGUAGUGGCGAGCGAAAGGGAAAGAGCCCAAACCUAUAAACUUGUUUAUAGGGGUUGAGGACUGCAUAAGGUAUUCUAGAAGGUUAGUCGAAUGGUUUUGGGAAAGCCAACCAAAGAGGGUGAAAGUCCUGUAGACGAAAACUAGACAGAGCUGGCAGGAUCCAGAGUACCACGGGACACGAGAAACCCUGUGGGAAACAGGGGGGACCACCCCCCAAGGCUAAAUACUCCUCAGUGACCGAUAGCGCAUAGUACUGUGAAGGAAAGGUGAAAAGAACCCCGGGAGGGGAGUGAAAAAGAACCUGAAACCCUAUGUUUACAAGCAGUGGAAGGCCGUAUAUAUAUCAGGCCGACCGCGUACUUUUUGUAGAACGGUCCGGCGAGUUACAUUUGUUGGCAAGGUUAAGGACUAAAGGUCUGGAGCCGAAGGGAAACCAAGUCUUAAUAGGGCGUUGAGUCAGCAGGUGUAGACCCGAAACCGGGUGACCUACCCAUGUCCAGGUUGAAGUUACCGUAAAAGGUAAUGGAGGACCGAACUCACAUGUGUUGAAAAACGUGGAGAUGAGGUGUGGGUAGCGGAGAAAUUCCAAUCGAACCCGGAGAUAGCUGGUUCUCCUCGAAAUAGCUUUAGGGCUAGCCUUGAUGGAGUCUAAUGGAGGUAGAGCACUGAAUUGCCUAGGGGGCGUCAAAGCUUACCGAAGCAUAUCAAACUCCGAAUGCCAUAUAGAUGCUCAUCAGGAGUCAGACUGCGCGAGAUAAGUUGGGUAGUCAAAAGGGAAAGAGCCCAGACCACCAGCUAAGGUCCCAAAGUAUGUGUUAAGUGGAAAAGGAUGUGAGAUUUCAGAGACAACUAGGAUGUUGGCUUAGAAGCAGCCACUCAUUCAAAGAGUGCGUAAUAGCUCACUAGUCGAGAGAUCUUGCGCCGAAAAUGUCCGGGGCUAAAACACAACACCGAAGCUGUGGAAUUGAACAUAGUUCAAUUGGUAGAGGAGCAUUCUUAUUUGGGAGGAAGCUGUACCGUAAGGAGCAGUGGACUAAUAAGAAGAGAGAAUGCCGGAAUGAGUAGCGAGAGAGAAGUGAGAAUCUUCUCGGCCGAAUAUCCAAGGUUUCCAGAGUAAAGCUGAUCUUCUCUGGGUAAGUCGGGACCUAAGGCGAGGACGAGAGUCGUAGUCGAUGGACAACAGGUUGAAAUUCCUGUACCGCAUAUAAACAGAACUGUGGGGACGCAGAAGGAUAGGAGAAGCGGGGAAUGGAAAGACCCGCUCAAGCACAAAGGAUAGUCUGGUAGGCAAAUCCGCCAGAUGUUUCUGAAGUGUGACGAGGACCGAAAUUAAGUAGGGAAGUCUCUGAAUCUAUGCUGCCAAGAAAAGCCGCUAUUGUUUUAUAUGUGCCCGUACCGUAAACCGACACAGGUGGAUGAGGAGAGAAUCCUAAGGCCGACGGGAGAAGCGUUGUUAAGGAACUCGGCAAAAUGACCCCGUAACUUCGGGAGAAGGGGUGCCUGUAGAAAUACAGGCCGCAGAGAAUAGGCCCAAGCGACUGUUUAGCAAAAACACAGGUCUCUGCAAAACCGAAAGGUGAAGUAUAGGGGCUGACGCCUGCCCGGUGCUGGAAGGUUAAGGGGAGUGGUUAGGAGCAAUCCGAAGCUAUGAACUUAAGCCCCAGUAAACGGCGGCCGUAACUAUAACGGUCCUAAGGUAGCGAAAUUCCUUGUCGGGUAAGUUCCGACCCGCACGAAAGGCGUAACGAUUUGGGCACUGUCUCGACAACGCGCCCGGUGAAAUUGUAGUACCGGUGAAGAUGCCGGUUACCCGCGACAGGACGGAAAGACCCCGUGGAGCUUUACUCCAGCUUGAUACUGGGAUUCGGUAUUACAUGUACAGGAUAGGAGGGAGACUAAGAAGGUAGGACGCCAGUCUUGCCAGAGUCGACGUUGGGAUACCUCCCUUGUAGUACUGGAUUUCUAACCUAUACCAGUGAUCCUGGUAAGGGACAAUGUCAGGUGGGGAGUUUGACUGGGGCGGUCGCCUCCGAAAAGGUAUCGGAGGCGCUCAAAGGUCAUCUCAGAAUGGUUGGAAAUCAUUCGAAGAGUGCAAAGGCAUAAGAUGGCUUGACUGUGACACCGACGGGUGGAGCAGGUACGAAAGUAGGACUUAGUGAUCCGGUGGUAUAAAGUGGGAUUGCCAUCGCUCAACGGAUAAAAGCUACCCCGGGGAUAACAGGCUUAUCACUCCCAAGAGUUCACAUCGACGGAGUGGUUUGGCACCUCGAUGUCGGCUCAUCGCAUCCUGGGGCUGUAGUAGGUCCCAAGGGUUGGGCUGUUCGCCCAUUAAAGCGGUACGCGAGCUGGGUUCAGAACGUCGUGAGACAGUUCGGUCCCUAUCCGUCGUGGGCGCAGGAUAUUUGAGAGGAGCUGUCCUUAGUACGAGAGGACCGGGAUGGACGAACCGCUGGUGUAUCUGUUGUACUACCAAGUGCAUAGCAGAGUAGCCAAGUUCGGAAGGGAUAAACGCUGAAGGCAUCUAAGCGUGAAGCCUCCCUCAAGAUAAGAUAUCCCAUAGCGCAAGCUAGUAAGACCCCUUGAAGACUACAAGGUAGAUAGGUUGGAGGUGUAAGUGUGGUAACACAUUUAGCUGACCAAUACUAAUAGGUCGAGGUCUUAAUCUA